Molecule: ribosomal RNA, 449 nt
Filed under: uncultured bacterium
Lineage: Bacteria
Description: partial 16S ribosomal RNA
Rfam family: Bacterial small subunit ribosomal RNA
Source: RNAcentral
AACGAACGCUGGCGGCAUGCCUAACACAUGCAAGUCGAACGAGAUCUUCGGGUCUAGUGGCGCACGGGUGCGUAACGCGUGGGAAUCUGCCCUUUGGUUCGGAAUAACAGUUGGAAACGACUGCUAAUACCGGAUGAUGACGAAAGUCCAAAGAUUUAUCGCCAGAGGAUGAGCCCGCGUAGGAUUAGCUAAUUGGUGUGGUAAAGGCGCACCAAGGCGACGAUCCUUAGCUGGUCUGAGAGGAUGAUCAGCCACACUGGGACUGAGACACGGCCCAGACUCCUACGGGAGGCAGCAGUGGGGAAUAUUGGACAAUGGGCGAAAGCCUGAUCCAGCAAUGCCGCGUGAGUGAUGAAGGCCUUAGGGUUGUAAAGCUCUUUUACCCGGGAUGAUAAUGACAGUACCGGGAGAAUAAGCUCCGGCUAACUCCGUGUCAGCCGCCGCUGUAA